CAGAGCUUAAUUAAAUAUUGUUCUCAUUUACGUUGAGGGGUUUUUUUGUGUGAUUCAAAAUGCUCUGA
Molecule: transfer RNA, 68 nt
Filed under: Scelimena sp. 1 JL-2023a
Lineage: Eukaryota; Metazoa; Arthropoda; Insecta; Orthoptera; Tetrigidae
Description: tRNA-Val
Source: RNAcentral